This 459-nucleotide ribosomal RNA is filed under the name uncultured bacterium. RNAcentral describes it as "partial 16S ribosomal RNA". It matches the Rfam family "Bacterial small subunit ribosomal RNA", at positions 338 to 795 of the family's 1533-position model. The record is from RNAcentral.
CCUACGGGUGGCAGCAGUGAGGAAUAUUGGUCAAUGGUCGGGAGACUGAACCAGCCAAGCCGCGUGAGGGAGGAAGGUACAGCGUAUCGUAAACCUCUUUUGUCAGGGAACAAAGACUGGGACGCGUCCCCGGAUGAGUGUACCUGACGAACAAGCAUCGGCUAACUCCGUGCCAGCAGCCGCGGUAAUCCGGAGGAUGCGAGCGUUAUCCGGAUUUAUUGGGUUAAAAGGGGGCGCAGGCGGUCUGUUAAGUCAGCGGUCAAAGCCCGGGGCUCAACCCCGGCCCGCCGUUGAAACUGGCAGUCUCGAGUUGGAGAGAAGUAUGCGGAAUGCGCGGUGUAGCGGUGAAAUGCAUAGAUAUCGCGCAGAACUCCGAUUGCGAAGGCAGCAUGCCGGAUCCACACUGACGCUGAGGCACGAAAGCGUGGGUAGCGAACAGGAUUAGAUACCCGGGUAGUC